CACAAGUUCACAAUAUAAUAAUGGAUCACACAGAUCACAAGUUCACAAUAUUACAAAUUAAUCCCAUAAAUCACAAGUUCACAAUAUAACAAAUUGAUCACAAGUUUACAAUAUAACAAGUGGAUAUUGAAAAUGAAAAACGAGCGCCAACUCCGAACAGCAAAAACCCUGUAUAUACCACACAUAGAAGACAUCAAGGUCUUAUCGAGAUGUAAUCAGAUUCGCAUUAAUCAAUAUUAGGCUGAUAUGAAUUAAAAUAGAACUCCAAGUAAAUUUUAAUAUACCUAAUACAUGAUUUCAGCGAGGGAUUCGAAUAAUAUCCAAACAAAACCCCAAGUGAUAAGUGUGUGGCCGUGUGGGGGUGGGGGAGGGAGAGGCUAGUAGGCUACAGCCUACUACCACGUUGCAGGCUUGCAACAGCCGAGGAGAAGCCGUGCAGGCUGUUGAGGAAGAGGAGCGGCAGCAAGGGGGCAUGGGCGUGCGCGCCGACGGCAGCAGCAAGGACAGGUCCUUCUCCGAGCGGUGUGUGCAUCCAUGGCCACAAAGCUAGGAUUAGGGAUUACAGAUUUACAGAUUAGUAGAUUACUUACAGUGGAUUGGGGGCAGUGCGUUCGUCCGUGGUCUGCACGCGCAGCCCGGCAGAGAGAAGGAAGAUGAGUCACGGAAUUUGGGGGCACGGUAUGGAGCGCUGAGCAGCCGUGAACAAUGGCGACUAGCUGUGGCGGCUGUGUGCGGUGUGCCUGUGCGGCUGCGCUGUGCUGGGCGAGGGCGGCGGAUGUGCGACGGGCCGACGACAGAUGGG
RNAcentral lists this long non-coding RNA (802 nucleotides) under Zea mays. RNAcentral describes it as "long non-coding RNA (ZMAY_LNC001172)". The record is from RNAcentral. Lineage: Eukaryota; Viridiplantae; Streptophyta; Magnoliopsida; Poales; Poaceae.